CUGGUUCUUGCGUUCUCUACAUAGAGAUGUCGUGUGAGCAGGGGGAACCGGCGAGGGUCAUCCAAGGGGUCAGGUUUCGGCGGUGGGGGUCGACGAGGAGAAGUAGAGGACGUCGUCAGGUGGUCGUCGACAAACUCCGGACAGCGGUAAGGCUUUAAUGGCGAGCAGGGGCUCCCCCGGCGCUCUGGUCAGUGAGUAGUGAGGAGGAGGUGUGGGGAUCGAGCUCGAUGAUCGGGAACCGAAUCCCUAGGGCUCGGCGUUGGGUUUUAUAGAGAGAGGGAGGAGAGAGGGCGUUGGGUGAGGGAGAAACGGCCGACGACAACCAUCAAACUCCAUUGAUGGCGCUGCCGCAGUGAAGAGCGAGAGUGGGGAAGAGGAGAGGGAGACACACUGCGGUUUCUGGUGAGGGGAUGAGAG
This 417-nucleotide long non-coding RNA is filed under the name Zea mays. Its description in RNAcentral is "drought responsive lncRNA". Lineage: Eukaryota; Viridiplantae; Streptophyta; Magnoliopsida; Poales; Poaceae. The record is from RNAcentral.